Molecule: ribosomal RNA, 460 nt
Filed under: uncultured bacterium
Lineage: Bacteria
Description: partial 16S ribosomal RNA
Rfam family: Bacterial small subunit ribosomal RNA
Source: RNAcentral
CCUACGGGAGGCAGCAGUGAGGAAUAUUGGUCAAUGGACGAGAGUCUGAACCAGCCAAGUAGCGUGAAGGAUGACUGCCCUAUGGGUUGUAAACUUCUUUUAUAUGGGAAUAAAACGUUCCACGUGUGGGAUUUUGUAUGUACCAUAUGAAUAAGGAUCGGCUAACUCCAUGCCAGCAGCCGCGGUAAUACGGAGGAUCCGAGCGUUAUCCGGAUUUAUUGGGUUUAAAGGGAGCGUAGGUGGAUUGUUAAGUCAGUUGUGAAAGUUUGCGGCUCAACCGUAAAAUUGCAGUUGAAACUGGCAGUCUUGAGUACAGUAGAGGUGGGCGGAAUUCGUGGUGUAGCGGUGAAAUGCUUAGAUAUCACGAAGAACUCCGAUUGCGAAGGCAGUUCACUGGACUGCAACUGACACUGAGGCUCGAAAGUGUGGGUAUCAAACAGGAUUAGAUACCCCUGUAGUC